Long non-coding RNA from Tupaia belangeri chinensis (Chinese tree shrew), 1467 nucleotides. RefSeq lists it as uncharacterized. The transcript has 4 exons. Lineage: Eukaryota; Metazoa; Chordata; Mammalia; Scandentia; Tupaiidae. The record is from RefSeq and is a predicted model, not a curated record.
CUUGGUGUUUUCCCUUUUUCUCCAUAAGGAGAUGGGAGCAUUGGCUGAUGGGCCUGUGGAGGGUAUGUCACCCCCUUAUGCAACACUGAGCACCCUCAUCCGGUGCCUCUCCCGUUUCUGACAUGGGGUUCACACUUCGUUCUAUGUACUCACUACUGCCAAGUAGGUGUUAAGAACUUUCUAUUGGCCAGGGUCUAUUCCAAGUCCUGGUGAUAGUCCUUAUAAUUGAGGACACCAGGUACAUUCAGGUACAGGGAAUGCAGAGAGGACAACAUACACAUAAUUACAUAUGUCAGCAUGUCAGUGGUGUGCUAACGUACAAAUAGGGUCAAAAGGUGGAGGAGAACUGAGUGUGUAUGUCUGUGAGAAGGAUGUUUUAGGCAGCCUGGUCAGGGAAGGCCUUUCAGAUAAGGUAAUGGUGGGGCUAAGGCCAGAAUGAAGUGAGACUGCUUUCAGUGCGUCUGCGGUAAGAGCCCUCCAGGCAGAAAAGCAGCAAGUGCCAAGGCCCUAAGGUGAGACUAUAUUAGGUGUGUUUGAAGAAGAGGUUAGUAUGGCUGGAGUAAAUGAAUAGGAAAAGUAUAAGGGACCUAAUGAGGUAGGACCUGAUGCUGUUGUUGGGUCUUGGGCUUUUGUACUGAGUGGAUCUGAAGCCACUGGAGGUUUUGGCCAGCAGAGUGAGAUAACGAGACUUACCUUUUGAGGGGAUCACUCCAGGUACUAUGUUGAGAAUAGACUGAAGAUAAGUUGAGAGGAGACAGGGCAGUCAGUGAAGAGUCUACUGCAGAAGUUUAGGGGGAGAUGACUGGAUUUGACCAGGGCUGGUGAGAAGUGACCAGAAUCUGGACAUGUUUGAUGGUAGACCUACAGGAUUUGUUGUGGGUCAGAGCACAUCCGUGUGGCUUCCCUCUCCCUGGCAAGGUGGCUGGCCUAGUGCGUGUUCCUCAUGGGGGGAGGCAUGGUCCUGAUGAGGCACUCAGCCUUUCCAGAGUUCUUUUUGUGCCUUGAGGAAGGCUUGAUUCCCAACAACAGAUUGAAAAACAAGAUGGUGCUCAGAGGACAAGUUUUCUUAAUUUAGAAGCUCACUUCAACACUUAUGGCAUAAGAAAUCUUGAAAGCGAUACCUUAGAAAAAUCAUUGUGAGUGCCGUCCAUUUUUUCUUCAGCCAAGAAGGACGUUGAUGUAGAGGCACAGUAACUGCCAUGGCUUCCAGUGCUCUGGUGAGACCUCAGAUGCGUGGCCUUCUGGCGAAGCGUCUAUGAUUUCAUGUUGUUGGAGCAGUCAUUAUAUCCCUGAGUGUUGUACAAGUUUCUGUAAGUUUGCUGUGGCUUAACCAAGAAAGAAGGCAUAUUGCAGAUUUCUACAGAAAUUAUGAUUCCAUGAAUGAUUUUGAAGAGAUGAGGAAGGCUGGUAUCUUUCAGAGUACAAAGUGAUUUUGGAAUGUAAAGAAUGGCACCAAUCCAGUGACAU